This is a non-coding RNA of Heterocephalus glaber (naked mole-rat), 333 nucleotides long. Lineage: Eukaryota; Metazoa; Chordata; Mammalia; Rodentia; Bathyergidae. The record is from Rfam.
GUAUGUGAGGGCAAUCUGGCUGGGACAUCUGUCACUCCAUUGACUGCUAGAGUUGAUCUGGCUGAUCUGGCAGGCUAGAAGAGUCCCCUUCCUUCGUCACCGCUCCAUGUGGGUCCCGCCUGAAACUUCAAGCUCGGUCAAAGAGGACAACUUUCCCCCAUAGAGGAGAAGAAUCACUUCCUGGAUUAAGAACGUACAAGUAGCUGAGCUUCCCUGCUAGAACCUCCAAACAAGCUCUCAAAAACAAUGAUAUUAACCAAAAUUCCCUUGGAAAGAACGCAUUUAUCAUUAGGUCACCCUGAAAAGACCCUGCAUAAUAAAUGGAUAUGACAG